GAAUUUCUAUGAGAGGCGAUGUUUAAUUAUCGCAGGACGUAAACAACAGAUAGUGAGUCUUCUACCUCUCGGUGCAUUCUUUCCUGGACCCUUCGCUUUUACUAAGCUAAGGCGAUUUGAAGAGGUUGAAUCUAAAUAGGAGAAGUAGUCGAACGAGGCGGCACAGAAAGAGGCUACGAAAUAGUCAGGAUUGCGGGCGAGAAUAGAGCAAUCAUACCUCAUGCCACGGGACAAGAAUGCUAGUGGAUAUAGCCGGAUCAAUAUGACCCCUCC
This 273-nucleotide long non-coding RNA is filed under the name Gossypium barbadense (sea-island cotton). Its description in RNAcentral is "long non-coding RNA (GBAR_LNC008092)". The record is from RNAcentral. Lineage: Eukaryota; Viridiplantae; Streptophyta; Magnoliopsida; Malvales; Malvaceae.